GAUAAUCAUGGAGUAUAAAAAUUAAAUUUAAUAAAUUUAAUAUAACUAUUAAUAGAAUUAGGUUACUAAUAAAUUAAUAACAAUUAAUUUUAAAACCUAAAGGUAAACCUUUAUAUUAAUAAUGUUUUUUUUUUAUUUUUAUAAUUAAGAAUAAUUAUUAAUAAUAAUAAACUAAGUGAACUGAAACAUCUAAGUAACUUAAGGAUAAUAAAUCAACAGAGAUAUUAUGAGUAUUGGUGAGAGAAAAUAAUAAAGGUCUAAUAAGUAUUAUGUGAAAAAAAUGUAAGAAAAUAGGAUAACAAAUUCUAAGACUAAAUACUAUUAAUAAGUAUAGUAAGUACCGUAAGGGAAAGUAUGAAAAUGAUUAUUUUAUAAGCAAUCAUGAAUAUAUUAUAUUAUAUUAAUGAUGUACCUUUUGUAUAAUGGGUCAGCAAGUAAUUAAUAUUAGUAAAACAAUAAGUUAUAAAUAAAUAGAAUAAUAUAUAUAUAUAAAAAAAUAUAUUAAAAUAUUUAAUUAAUAUUAAUUGACCCGAAAGCAAACGAUCUAACUAUGAUAAGAUGGAUAAACGAUCGAACAGGUUGAUGUUGCAAUAUCAUCUGAUUAAUUGUGGUUAGUAGUGAAAGACAAAUCUGGUUUGCAGAUAGCUGGUUUUCUAUGAAAUAUAUGUAAGUAUAGCCUUUAUAAAUAAUAAUUAUUAUAUAAUAUUAUAUUAAUAUUAUAUAAAGAAUGGUACAGCAAUUAAUAUAUAUUAGGGAACUAUUAAAGUUUUAUUAAUAAUAUUAAAUCUCGAAAUAUUUAAUUAUAUAUAAUAAAGAGUCAGAUUAUGUGCGAUAAGGUAAAUAAUCUAAAGGGAAACAGCCCAGAUUAAGAUAUAAAGUUCCUAAUAAAUAAUAAGUGAAAUAAAUAUUAAAAUAUUAUAAUAUAAUCAGUUAAUGGGUUUGACAAUAACCAUUUUUUAAUGAACAUGUAACAAUGCACUGAUUUAUAAUAAAUAAAAAAAAUAAUAUUUAAAAUCAAAUAUAUAUAUAUUUGUUAAUAGAUAAUAUACGGAUCUUAAUAAUAAGAAUUAUUUAAUUCCUAAUAUGGAAUAUUAUAUUUUUAUAAUAAUAAUAAAAAUAUAAAUACUGAAUAUCUAAAUAUUAUUAUUACUUUUUUUUUUAAUAAUAAUAAUAUGGUAAUAGAACAUUUAAUGAUAAUAUAUAUUAGUUAUUAAUUAAUAUAUGUAUUAAUUAAAUAGAGAAUGCUGACAUGAGUAACGAAAAAAAGGUAUAAACCUUUUCACCUAAAACAUAAGGUUUAACUAUAAAAGUACGGCCCCUAAUUAAAUUAUAUAAGAAUAUAAAUAUAUUUAAGAUGGGAUAAUCUAUAUUAAUAAAAAUUUAUCUUAAAAUAUAUAUAUUAUUAAUAAUUAUAUUAAUUAAUUAAUAAUAUAUAUAAUUAUAUUAUAUAUUAUAUUUUUAUAUAUAAUAUAUAUAAUAUAAACUAAUAAAGAUCAGGAAAUAAUUAAUGUAUACCGUAAUGUAGACCGACUCAGGUAUGUAAGUAGAGAAUAUGAAGGUGAAUUAGAUAAUUAAAGGGAAGGAACUCGGCAAAGAUAGCUCAUAAGUUAGUCAAUAAAGAGUAAUAAGAACAAAGUUGUACAACUGUUUACUAAAAACACCGCACUUUGCAGAAACGAUAAGUUUAAGUAUAAGGUGUGAACUCUGCUCCAUGCUUAAUAUAUAAAUAAAAUUAUUUAACGAUAAUUUUAUUAAAUUUAGGUAAAUAGCAGCCUUAUUAUGAGGGUUAUAAUGUAGCGAAAUUCCUUGGCCUAUAAUUGAGGUCCCGCAUGAAUGACGUAAUGAUACAACAACUGUCUCCCCUUUAAGCUAAGUGAAAUUGAAAUCGUAGUGAAGAUGCUAUGUACCUUCAGCAAGACGGAAAGACCCUAUGCAGCUUUACUGUAAUUAGAUAGAUCGAAUUAUUGUUUAUUAUAUUCAGCAUAUUAAGUAAUCCUAUUAUUAGGUAAUCGUUUAGAUAUUAAUGAGAUACUUAUUAUAAUAUAAUGAUAAUUCUAAUCUUAUAAAUAAUUAUUAUUAUUAUUAUUAUUAAUAAUAAUAAUAUGCUUUCAAGCAUAGUGAUAAAACAUAUUUAUAUGAUAAUCACUUUACUUAAUAGAUAUAAUUCUUAAGUAAUAUAUAAUAUAUAUUAUAUAUAUAUUAUAUAUAAUAUAAGAGACAAUCUCUAAUUGGUAGUUUUGAUGGGGCGUCAUUAUCAGCAAAAGUAUCUGAAUAAGUCCAUAAAUAAAUAUAUAAAAUUAUUGAAUAAAAAAAUAAUAUAUAUUAUAUAUAUUAAUUAUAAAUUGAAAUAUGUUUAUAUAAAUUUAUAUUUAUUGAAUAUAUUUUAGUAAUAGAUAAAAAUAUGUACAGUAAAAUUGUAAGGAAAACAAUAAUAACUUUCUCCUCUCUCGGUGGGGGUUCACACCUAUUUUUAAUAGGUGUGAACCCCUCUUCGGGGUUCCGGUUCCCUUUCGGGUCCCGGAACUUAAAUAAAAAUGGAAAGAAUUAAAUUAAUAUAAUGGUAUAACUGUGCGAUAAUUGUAACACAAACGAGUGAAACAAGUACGUAAGUAUGGCAUAAUGAACAAAUAACACUGAUUGUAAAGGUUAUUGAUAACGAAUAAAAGUUACGCUAGGGAUAACAGGGUAAUAUAACGAAAGAGUAGAUAUUGUAAGUUAUGUUUGCCACCUCGAUGUCGACUCAACAUUUCCUCUUGGUUGUAAAAGCUAAGAAGGGUUUGACUGUUCGUCAAUUAAAAUGUUACGUGAGUUGGGUUAAAUACGAUGUGAAUCAGUAUGGUUCCUAUCUGCUGAAGGAAAUAUUAUCAAAUUAAAUCUCAUUAUUAGUACGCAAGGACCAUAAUGAAUCAACCCAUGGUGUAUCUAUUGAUAAUAAUAUAAUAUAUUUUAUAAAAAUAAUACUUUAUUAAUAUAUUAUCUAUAUUAGUUUAUAUUUUAAUUAUAUAUUAUCAUAGUAGAUAAGCUAAGUUGAUAAUAAAUAAAUAUUGAAUACAUAUUAAAUAUGAAGUUGUUUUAAUAAGAUAAUUAAUCUGAUAAUUUUAUACUAAAAUUAAUAAUUAUAGGUUUUAUAUAUUAUUUAUAAAUAUAAUAUAAUAAUUAUUAUUAUUAAUAAAAAAAAUAUUAAUUAUA
Molecule: ribosomal RNA, 3189 nt
Filed under: Saccharomyces cerevisiae (brewer's yeast)
Lineage: Eukaryota; Fungi; Ascomycota; Saccharomycetes; Saccharomycetales; Saccharomycetaceae
Rfam family: Bacterial large subunit ribosomal RNA
Source: RNAcentral